Molecule: ribosomal RNA, 550 nt
Filed under: uncultured bacterium
Lineage: Bacteria
Description: bacterial SSU rRNA
Rfam family: Bacterial small subunit ribosomal RNA
Source: RNAcentral
UAGGGAAUCUUGGACAAUGGGCGCAAGCCUGAUCCAGCCAUGCCGCGUGGGUGAAGAAGGCCUUCGGGUUGUAAAGCCCUUUUGUUCGGGAAGAAAUCGUAGCGGCGAAUAUCCGCUGUGGAUGACGGUACCGAAAGAAUAAGCACCGGCUAACUUCGUGCCAGCAGCCGCGGUAAUACGAAGGGUGCAAGCGUUACUCGGAAUUACUGGGCGUAAAGCGUGCGUAGGCGGUGAUUUAAGUCUGUUGUGAAAGCCCUGGGCUCAACCUGGGAAUGGCAGUGGAUACUGAAUCGCUAGAGUGCGGUAGAGGGUGGCGGAAUUCCCGGUGUAGCGGUGAAAUGCGUAGAGAUCGGGAGGAACAUCCGUGGCGAAGGCGGCCACCUGGACCAGCACUGACGCUGAGGCACGAAAGCGUGGGGAGCAAACAGGAUUAGAUACCCUGGUAGUCCACGCCCUAAACGAUGCGAACUGGAUGUUGGGAGCAACUUGGCUCUCAGUGUCGAAGCUAACGCGUUAAGUUCGCCGCCUGGGGAGUACGGUCGCAAGACUG